GUUAGGAGGUUUGUAUUGGUUUGGGCAGGAGGAGGUGGCAACGACGUUUCGAGGAGGGUUUGGGCAGGAGGAGGUGCUGCUGACAUGAUUGAGAGUGUGAGGGAUGGUGUAGGCGACGUGAGGGAGGGAUUAAAUAGGCGAGUCGUUGCUCUUAGGACCAAACCCUAAGUAGGCGAUUGAGUAUUCCAUCCACCAAACCCUGAUCCUUCCACCAAACCUAGGUGGAGGUGCCGCUGACAUGUUAUUGCUAUUUGAAACCUUGCUC
This 265-nucleotide long non-coding RNA is filed under the name Phoenix dactylifera (date palm). RNAcentral describes it as "long non-coding RNA (PDAC_LNC005815)". Lineage: Eukaryota; Viridiplantae; Streptophyta; Magnoliopsida; Arecales; Arecaceae. The record is from RNAcentral.